This 546-nucleotide ribosomal RNA is filed under the name uncultured bacterium. RNAcentral describes it as "bacterial SSU rRNA". It matches the Rfam family "Bacterial small subunit ribosomal RNA", at positions 355 to 895 of the family's 1533-position model. The record is from RNAcentral.
UGGGGAAUAUUGCGCAAUGGGGGGAACCCUGACGCAGCCAUGCCACGUGAAUGAAGAAGGCCUUCGGGUUGUAAAGUUCUUUCGGUAUUGAGGAAGGUUGAUGUGUUAAUAGCACAUCAAAUUGACGUUAAAUACAGAAGAAGCACCGGCUAACUCCGUGCCAGCAGCCGCGGUAAUACGGAGGGUGCGAGCGUUAAUCGGAAUAACUGGGCGUAAAGGGCACGCAGGCGGUUAUUUAAGUGAGGUGUGAAAGCCCCGGGCCUAACCUGGGAAUUGCAUUUCAGACUGGGUAACUAGAGUACUUUAGGGAGGGGUAGAAUUCCACGUGUAGCGGUGAAAUGCGUAGAGAUGUGGAGGAAUACCGAAGGCGAAGGCAGCCCCUUGGGAAUGUACUGACGCUCAUGUGCGAAAGCGUGGGGAGCAAACAGGAUUAGAUACCCUGGUAGUCCACGCUGUAAACGCUGUCGAUUUGGGGGUUGGGGUUUAACUCUGGCGCCCGUAGCUAACGUGAUAAAUCGACCGCCUGGGGAGUACGGCCGCAAGGUU